Long non-coding RNA from Lontra canadensis (Northern American river otter), 1015 nucleotides. RefSeq lists it as uncharacterized. The record is from RefSeq and is a predicted model, not a curated record. The transcript has 5 exons. NCBI's taxonomy places the organism in Eukaryota, Metazoa, Chordata, Mammalia, Carnivora, Mustelidae.
UGAGCCAAAGGCAGAUGGUUAACUGACUGAGCUACCCAGGCACCCCUGUGAACUAUUUUUAAAUAUGCGGUUUAAACAAAUUAUUCAAUACAAUGUAAAAUAUAGCAACUGUUGUACUUAAAGUGGUAUGUAGAACAACAAAAACUGAUCUACAGACUCUUCUCUAAGAAGAAUCCCAAGGGAAUUGAAUGUGGAGCAGUGUGGAUUCAAGGAGCAAAAGGCCUCUUUAUUCCUUUUACAGUUGACCUUUGAACACUGUUUAAACUGCCCUUGUUCACUUAUACAUGGAUUCUUUUUUGAUGAAUACAGUACAAUACUGGUCCUUGAGAAGUAGUCCUUUGACUUUCAGUACAUCAUAAACAGAGGGCAGUAGUGGAAAUAUUUUCAGGAGAUAUUGCACAAGCAGGGACUAGAAUGGGAAGACCGCUUUCUUUGGGAAGCUGGAGAAGAAGCGCUUGACAGCUCCAAGGCUUGGAGCCAAACUAUUCCAAGAUCAUAAAGGAAAAGGGCUCCUUUCUCCCAGAAUUCGUUUCUUCUAAGGUCCAGAAGGCCCUUUGGAUGAGCCAAGCUGGGUUCCUGUGCCGACUCCUGUGGCCAGAAGAGUGGAGUCUUUGACCGGAGAAGGGAUGUCACACAGAACUGGAGAAACUGGGGACUGAUGAAAGACAGUGAUUGAUUUCUUCUGAGCAACACCCAAGGUUCAAUUGAGAUUCGAGAUCAUGGAUUCAGAGACCACACCACUAGAGGAAGGUGAGGCUGCGCAAAGGCUACUCGGUAUGUGUCCCCGGGACAGUGGAAAUGCUGUGCGUCACUGUAUGGUACACUCGAUGCAUAUAAAAUGAUCGGACCGUUUAAUCACUUUUAUCUUGAGCUGUUUCUAUGAAAUUCAUAUUGUUUUCUUUUGAAAAAAAAUUUUUAUUCAUUCUGUAUAAAUCAUUACCUGCAUGUUUUAUGUAUGUCUCCUAUAGAGUACAUCGUAAUGUUGUAGGAAACUGAUCAUUCUGAAAAUCUUCCA